GAUGAAGAACGUAGCGAAAUGCGAUAAGUAAUGUGAAUUGCAGAAUUCAGUGAAUCAUCGAAUCUUUGAACGCACAUUGCGCCCGCUAGUAUUCUGGCGGGCAUGCCUGUCCGAGCGUCAUUUCAACCCUCAAGCCCCCGGGCUUGGUGUUGGGGAUCGGCGAGCCUCCGCGCCCGCCGUCCCCUAAAUCUAGUGGCGGUCUCGCUGUAGCUUCCUCUGCGUAGUAGCACACCUCGCACUGGGAAACAGCGCGGCCACGCCGUUAAACCCCCAACUUCUGAACGUUUGACCUCGGAUCAGGUAGGAAUACCCGCUGAACUUAAGCAUAUCAAUAAGCGAGGA
Molecule: unclassified non-coding RNA, 342 nt
Filed under: soil metagenome
Description: partial contains 5.8S ribosomal RNA, internal transcribed spacer 2, and large subunit ribosomal RNA
Rfam family: 5.8S ribosomal RNA (bases 1-120)
Source: RNAcentral